ACCAUAAAACAGCAACAGCGACCCACUGCAGAUUCUCCUCCAAACAGGAAUAUGGCAAAGGCGUGGUUCUGAUCCAGGAAGGGGAAGGAUCCCCAAGUUGUGAAGGCUGAAGAUCAAAUUGCCAAGUGGAAUCCCAUCCAUCACGGGGACCAACACCAGCCAUCUGCUCCCCACCACCACCUUCAAAGAGCACAUGGAAGCUGGGCAGCUGGCUGGCAGCUGGAAGGAGGGCAAGAUGGCCUGGCCAG
Molecule: long non-coding RNA, 248 nt
Filed under: Sus scrofa (pig)
Lineage: Eukaryota; Metazoa; Chordata; Mammalia; Artiodactyla; Suidae
Description: lncRNA (ENSSSCG00025046056.1, ENSSSCG00070019387.1)
Source: RNAcentral